AUGUUCCUUCCCUUCCAAGAACUGCAGACCCUGUCCCUGUAUCUAAAUAUAAAGGGAUGCAUACCUGGUGCAGGUUUUGAUGUGUGGUCAAAAUUGCGAAAAUUAAGAAGCCUUGAUCUAUUUGGAAAUAACUUAAGUGACUACAGCAUCCCAUCCUUAGUUGCAGUUUCGUCACUACGGCGCCUGUCCAUCAGUUUUAAUAACUUGACCUCCCCUGUGUCGAUCCAACAUUUGAGUACAAUGAAGCUGGAUACUCUUGAUCUAAGCGGUAAUGCAUUCAACGGCACCUUACCAACAGGUAUUUGCGACAUGCAAAAUCUUGAAGAAUUAUAUCUUGGUGGAAGUACGUUGUUUGGAGAGCUUCCAUCGUGCAUAGGGAAUCUUACUUCUCUCAGAAUCCUGGAUCUGUCGAAUAAUCUAUUUACGAUAAAGUUUCCCUCUCUUAGCUUUGCCCAUUUGACUUCAUUGGUGGAACUUUCCCUAUCCAAUAACAAUCUUGAAGGAGUUCUCUUCCUAGGUUCCUUGUCAAACAGUAGCCAAUUGACACAUCUGGAUCUUUCAAGCAGUGGUAACCAUUUUCAAGUGGAAACUGUGACUCCAACAAUUAGCCUGUCAGCUCAGCUCCAGGUUAUGGUACUGCCAAACUGUAACCUUAAUGGCAAUUCUGCUGUUAUAUUAAGUUUCUUAUCGCAUCAACAUGCAUUAGAAGCUGUUGAUAUAUCUAAUAAUAACCUAAGCGGCCACUUCCCUUCAUGGUUGAUAGAGAAAAAUGUGAACCUGUCACAUCUAAAUCUGCAAGGCAACUCCUUUAGUGGAAGUCUUCUUCUUCCAUCCAAAGUACACAACAGUCUGUACUGGCUUGAUGCAUCUCAUAAUAGACUAAGCAAAUUACCUACGGGCAUCAACAUCACAUUCCCAAAUCUGUACUAUGUAAACCUGUCUAGGAAUUCCUUCCAGGGCAUCUUUCCUUCGGGGCUUCACUAUAUAGACAGCCUGACAUUUUUGGACUUGUCUAACAACAAUUUCUCCGAUAACAUAGUGUCUGCCUUUAAUGGAAGCAAGUCCAAUAUCCGUUCUUUGUUCCUGUCUGGCAACAAUUUCUAUGGUUCAUUCCCUCAAGGCAUACUAUUAGGUUCCACCUACCAUCUACUACUCAACGAUAACCAAAUCACCGGGGAAAUCCCCGAUAAUAUAUGUCUUGGUCAGCAGCUUACUUUGCUUGAUGUUAGCAGUAACAAGUUGACUGGCUCUCUCCCUACUUGCAUACAUGCACUCGAAAAUAUUGCCAUCUUGAAUCUAAGAGGCAAUUCAUUGGGUGGAUCGAUUCCGCUGAAAUUAUGCCACCUUAAAAAUCUUGUGUUCCUCGAUAUGUCAAAAAACAACCUUUCCGGUCCAGUGCAAUGUUUACCCAGUUUGCAGUAUCUUCACCUGAGUGAAAAUCGACUAAAUGGAACGUUCCCUUUCCCGUUGUCCUCGGGAACUGAUACAUACACAAUGGAUCUACGGCAGAACCAAUUCAGUGGAAUCCUUCCAGAAUUGAUGCACAAGUCCUUUCCAAAGCUAAAAAUAUUGUUGCUCGAAGGAAAUAUGUUUGAAGGACUGAUUCCAAAUGAUAUAUGUCACUUAAGGUAUUUGCGUCUACUAGAUCUGUCUCAUAAUAAGCUGCUGCCUUGUGACCAUGAGGUCACGGGUUCAAGUCCUGGAAACAGCCUCUUGCAGAAAUGUAGGGAAAGGCUGCGUACAAUAGACCCAAAGUGGUCGGACCCUUCCCCAGACCCUGCGCAAGCGGGAGCUACAUGCACUGGGGCUGCCCUUUUUUUAGAUCUGUCUCAUAAUAAGCUCUCUGGACAGCUACCUUCAUGCCUGAGCAAUAUGGGGUUUGAUGGUGAUUUGUAUAACUUCCUAUACAAUGACUCAGAUACUUCAGUAGUAAUGAAUCACACCAAUGGCUAUGAUAUUGGGAGCGUAGUAGGUACUUCUCCCGUGCCUGAAUUUUUCAUAGGACCAGACCAAGAAGAAUUCAUGACCAAGAGCAGGCAAGACAAAUACAAGGGAAACAUCCUCAGUUACAUGUCUGGACUUGACUUCUCUUCAAACCAGUUGGAAGGAUACAUUCCUAAAAGUAUAGGUGACAUGAAAUGGUUACGGGCACUGAAUUUUUCCAACAACUGCUUUCAUGGACCAAUACCAGAUUCUUUGUCACAUUUAAGUAAUCUCGAGAGCUUGGAUCUGUCGCACAACAACUUGACAGGUCAAAUACCACAAGAGUUGGUAGAACUACAUUCUUUGGAGGUAUUCACUGUGGCGUACAAUAACUUGUCCGGCCCUACAUUGGGUAGAAACGGCCAAUUCAUCACAUUUGAUGAGAGCAGCUAUGCAGGCAAUCCAUAUCUCUGCGGACCACCACUGCUGAAGAGUUGCUUUGAUGCACCGUCGAUUCCUCAGCCUGAAGAACAUGAAGAUGAUAGUAAACUUGCCAAUCUGGCACUAUUCAGUUUUUCAGUGUUGUGCUACCUGAUUGGUUUCUGGACCUCCUUGGUUGUGCUUUAUUUCAAGAGAAGCUGGCGCUGGUCAUGGUUUUCAGCAGUGGACAGGCUUGGUGACAUUCUGAUGGUUAGGUCAGCUUUAUGCAUGAGAAGGUUUAACCGCACCGACUGA
Molecule: ribosomal RNA, 2658 nt
Filed under: Triticum aestivum (bread wheat)
Lineage: Eukaryota; Viridiplantae; Streptophyta; Magnoliopsida; Poales; Poaceae
Description: partial small subunit ribosomal RNA
Source: RNAcentral